This is a long non-coding RNA of Peromyscus maniculatus bairdii (prairie deer mouse), 252 nucleotides long. RefSeq lists it as uncharacterized. The record is from RefSeq and is a predicted model, not a curated record. Lineage: Eukaryota; Metazoa; Chordata; Mammalia; Rodentia; Cricetidae.
GCUAUUGAUACCUCACUGUUACAGCCGUGAGCUCUGCCUCACUUGUCAACAACAGGAUAGCUGUGACAGACCUCCACAUCUUACCCAGAUGCCGUGAAGAGGAACAUUUUCUUCAUGUUAAAAAGAUACCCAGGAAACACACCCAUCUGUCUGCUGCAAGAACAUGUACAAGCUCCUUGUUUACCAGAAGAAUCUGAAGUGUUGCUGAGAACUAAAAUACGCCAAGAAAAGAAAUAAAAGAAAAUUAUGACA